CCUACGGGAGGCAGCAGUAGGGAAUAUUGCUCAAUGGGGGAAACCCUGAAGCAGCAACGCCGCGUGGAGGAUGAAGGUUUUCGGAUUGUAAACUCCUUUUGUUAGAGAAGAAAAUGACGGUAUCUAACGAAUAAGCACCGGCUAACUCCGUGCCAGUAGCCGCGGUAAUACGGAGGGUGUAAGCGUUAUUCGGAAUCACUGGGCGUAAAGCGCGCGUAGGCGGGAUAGCAAGUCAGAUGUGAAAUCCUAUGGCUUAACCAUAGAACUGCAUGUGAAACUGUUAUUCUAGAGUAUGGGAGAGGUAGGUGGAAUGCUUGGUGUAGUGGUGAAAUCCGUAGAGAUCAAGAGGAAUACUCAUUGCGAAGGCGACCUGCUAGAACAUAACUGACGCUGAUGCGCGAAAGCGUGGGGAGCAAACAGGAUUAGAUACCCUGGUAGUC
Molecule: ribosomal RNA, 440 nt
Filed under: uncultured bacterium
Lineage: Bacteria
Description: partial 16S ribosomal RNA
Rfam family: Bacterial small subunit ribosomal RNA
Source: RNAcentral